GACUGUGAUGGAUAGGAGGACGGCUGCCAGCACUAGGUGACUCAAGGGUUAAACUCAGAUCUUCUAAGUUAAGGGCGGGAGGGAGCAACAUGCAGUAAUCUGAAUUACCAUGUCUACAAGGAAUAUUGGACAUGGGAGUGGACUGGACUGUGAAGACAAUAUUCCAGCACUGCACCUGUGUCGGCGAUGAGGCCAACUUCUCACAAUGCUUGUGAUAUUUGGGAUUUUCUUUAAUGACCUAGCUCCUGGAGUCAUGGGAUUAUGUGAGAACCUCAAGCUUUUUUCUCCCCUUUUAAAGAAAAGUUUGAGACGUGGAGCCCCGCAGGAAAGGAGAAGCCUGCAUGUCUUUCCAAGAGACACAGCACAUCUGGGCACAGCAGCGCCUCCUCCCCACCCACCAGAUAUAAAGUUAUUGUCGUUGCAACCUACUCAAGCCAUUCAAAAGAAGACGAUGUUUGCGUACCAUUUUAAAGAAAAAUCUUCAUGGUACAGUUUGAACCAAAUGAUAGUAUACCCCCCCCCCCAAAAAAAAACCCUGCAACUGAAGACCUUUGCAUCCAGAAAUUUAAGAGGGACUCUGACAACCAGAAAUGAAAACCGCAGCUGCUUCUGCACUGGGCCAACAGGCAAAACAAGCAUUUGGUGGCUGUCACAUCCGUGAAUGCUAAUCAAUAAGUUCUCUGAUGGUACCCUCCAGAACCAGCACAUGUGGCUUGGAGGUUAGAAAAAUCACUGUGGCAAUCACCCAGGCAUGCUGGCAAAUAUCAGACAUUGCAAUUGGCCCUAUUUGAAGGGACCGGCCCUUCUUAUAGCAUGACGUUGACGAUUUUUCCAUUCUGCCCCACCGAAAGGAAUCAAGCUGCUGUUAUGCAAACUGCUCCUGCCUCCCUAUUUCCCCAUCGAUCGUUUUUGCCACCUUUGAAAACAAGCUCCAAACGCAAACUCUCCUUAAAGAACACCAAGCAAGACAAUCAAGCAGCCGCCGCAGCCAGUUGAAGAUCCCAGGCAGUUGGAAAAAAAUAUAAGAAUCUUACAUCCGCCCCUUUGCAUGCAUAUGCUUACCAGUGUUAAAUCUUAUUUGUGUAGCCCAAUAGCGUGCAAGGUGAUUUACGGGACGAUAUAAAGCCCGAUCUUUGAGUCCCGCCAAACUCUUUCUGCCUGAAAUACUUUUUCUCUUUGCAGCAUGUGAUACUACACCACUGUGUGAUUU
Molecule: long non-coding RNA, 1210 nt
Organism: Pelodiscus sinensis (Chinese soft-shelled turtle)
Lineage: Eukaryota; Metazoa; Chordata; Testudines; Trionychidae
Source: RefSeq, a predicted model, not a curated record